RNAcentral lists this ribosomal RNA (352 nucleotides) under uncultured bacterium. Its description in RNAcentral is "bacterial SSU rRNA". It matches the Rfam family "Bacterial small subunit ribosomal RNA", at positions 8 to 350 of the family's 1533-position model. The record is from RNAcentral.
AGAGUUUGAUCCUGGCUCAGGAUGAACGCUAGCUACAGGCUUAACACAUGCAAGUCGAGGGGAAACGGACAUCGAAAGCUUGCUUUUGUAUGGGCGUCGACCGGCGCACGGGUGAGUAACGCGUAUCCAACCUGCCCACCACUUGGGGAUAACCUUGCGAAAGUAAGACUAAUACCCAAUGACGUCUCUAGAAGACAUCUGAAAGAGAUUAAAGAUUUAUCGGUGAUGGAUGGGGAUGCGUCUGAUUAGCUUGUUGGCGGGGUAACGGCCGCCAAGGCUACGAUCAGUAGGGGUUCUGAGAGGAAGUCCCCACAUUGGAACUGAGACACGGUCCAAACUCCUACGGGAGGCA